UUAUGCUAAUAAGAGCGUAUGGUGGAUGCCUUGGCACUAAGAGCCGAUGAAAGACGUGAUAAGCUGCGAAAAGCUUCGGGGAGGAGCAAAUAUCCUAUGAUCCGGAGAUCUCUGAAUGGGGAAACCCACCUGAGCAAACCUCAGGUAUCCUAACGCCAAUACAUAACGUUAGGAGGGGAACCCGGUGAACUGAAACAUCUAAGUAGCCGGAGGAAGAGAAAACAACAUGUGAUUCUGGAAGUAGCGGCGAGCGAAACCGGAAGAGCCCAAACCGGAGUGCGUGCACUCCGGGGUUCGGACCGCGGAAUUGAUCCAAAAGACUUAACAGAACGGCCUGGGAAGGCCGGCCAGAGAGGGUGAAAGCCCCGUAAGUGAAAGGUCGAUUGGCAUGGCGGUAUCCAGAGUAGGUCGAGACACGUGGAACCUUGACUGAAUACGCGGGGACCACCCCGUAAGGCUAAAUACUCCUUAGUGACCGAUAGCGCAUAGUACUGUGAAGGAAAGGUGAAAAGGACCCCGGGAGGGGAGUGAAAAAGAACCUGAAACCAUAUGUUUACAAGCUGUGGAACCACUUUAAAUGUGGAACCGCGUACUUUUUGUAGAACGGUCCGGCGAGUUACGCUGGCUGGCGAGGUUAAGUCCUUAAGGGAUGGAGCCGAAGGGAAACCAAGUCUGAAUAGGGCGAAGAGUCAGUCGGAGUAGACCCGAAACCGGGUGACCUAUCCAUGUCCAGGAUGAAGUUGCCGUAAAAGGCAAUGGAGGACCGAACCCACAUCCGUUGAAAAGGGUGGGGAUGAGGUGUGGAUAGCGGAGAAAUUCCAAUCGAACCCGGAGAUAGCUGGUUCUCCUCGAAAUAGCUUUAGGGCUAGCCUCAUACAAGUCUUGCGGAGGUAGAGCACUGAAUUUCCUAGGGGGCGUCAAAGCUUACCGAAGAAUAUCAAACUCCGAAUGCCGCGUAGAUGGUGUAUGGGAGUCAGACUGCACGAGAUAAGUUGGGUAGUCAAAAGGGAAAGAGCCCAGACCUGCAGCUAAGGUCCCAAAAUGUGUGUUAAGUGGAAAAGGAUGUGGGAUUUCGAAGACAACUAGGAUGUUGGCUCAGAAGCAGCCAUACAUUCAAAGAGUGCGUAAUAGCUCACUAGUCGAGAGGUCCUGCGCCGAAAAUGUCCGGGGCUGAAACACACUACCGAAGCUCAGGAAUGUACUUGUACAUUGGUAGAGGAGCAUUGUAUACGGGAAGAAGCAGUACCGAUAAGGAGCUGUGGACUGUAUAGAAGAGAGAAUGCCGGAAUGAGUAGCGAGAGGAAGGUGAGAAUCCUUCCGGCCGAAUAUCUAAGGUUUCCAGAGUAAAGCUGAUCUGCUCUGGGUAAGUCGGGGCCUAAGGCCAGGUCGAAAGACGUAACCGAUGGACAACAGGUUGAAAUUCCUGUACCGCGAUAUAACAGAACUGUGGGGACACGUGUGGAGAGCACAAGCCGGGAAUGGAAAGCCCGGCGCAAGCAAGGUAGGAGUCGUACUGGCAAAUCCGUACGGCAAUCCGAAGAUGUGAUGCGUACCGAAAUAAGAGUAGGGAAGAGUGUGAGCCAUGCGUCAAGAAAAGCCGCUAUUGUUUGUAUCGCGCCCGUACCGUAAACCGACACAGGUGGAUGAGGAGAGAAUCCUAAGGCCGACGGGAGAAGCAUUGUUAAGGAACUCGGCAAAAUGACUCCGUAACUUCGGGAGAAGGAGUGCCACUGAGAGGUGGCCGCAGAGAAUUGGCCCAAGCAACUGUUUAGCAAAAACACAGGUCUAUGCAAAACCGAAAGGUGAAGUAUAUGGGCUGACGCCUGCCCGGUGCUGGAAGGUUAAGGGGAGAGGUUAGCGCAAGCGAAGCUUUGAACUUAAGCCCCAGUAAACGGCGGCCGUAACUAUAACGGUCCUAAGGUAGCGAAAUUCCUUGUCGGGUAAGUUCCGACCCGCACGAAAGGCGUAAUGAUUUGGGCACUGUCUCAACAAUGCACCCGGUGAAAUUGAAAUACCAGUGAAGAUGC
Molecule: ribosomal RNA, 2027 nt
Filed under: human gut metagenome
Description: bacterial LSU rRNA
Rfam family: Bacterial large subunit ribosomal RNA
Source: RNAcentral